This 253-nucleotide ribosomal RNA is filed under the name uncultured bacterium. RNAcentral's name for it is "partial 16S ribosomal RNA". It matches the Rfam family "Bacterial small subunit ribosomal RNA", at positions 524 to 776 of the family's 1533-position model. The record is from RNAcentral.
UACGUAGGAUGCGAGCGUUGUCCGGAAUUAUUGGGCGUAAAGAGAACGUAGGCGGUUUGUUAAGUUUGGGCUUAAAGACUGGGGCUCAACCCCAGGAGUGGCUCGAAAACUGACAGACUGGAGGACGGCAGAGGAAAGUGGAAUUCCCAGUGUAGCGGUGAAAUGCGUAGAUAUUGGGAGGAACACCAGUGGCGAAAGCGACUUUCUGGGCCGUUCCUGACGCUGAGGUUCGAAAGCUCGGGGAGCAAACAGG